GCUGCUAUGGCUCAGUAGGCAGAGCACAUCCUUGGUAAGGAUGAGGUCACCGGUUCGAAUCCGGUUAGCAGCUCCA
RNAcentral lists this transfer RNA (76 nucleotides) under Clostridia bacterium. Its description in RNAcentral is "tRNA-Thr". It matches the Rfam family "tRNA". Rfam says of the family: Transfer RNA (tRNA) molecules are approximately 80 nucleotides in length. Their secondary structure includes four short double-helical elements and three loops (D, anti-codon, and T loops). The record is from RNAcentral. Lineage: Bacteria; Bacillati; Bacillota; Clostridia.